GAUGAACGCUGGCGGCGUGCCUAAUACAUGCAAGUCGAGCGAACGGACGAGAAGCUUGCUUCUCUGAUGUUAGCGGCGGACGGGUGAGUAACACGUGGAUAACCUACCUAUAAGACUGGGAUAACUUCGGGAAACCGGAGCUAAUACCGGAUAAUAUUUUGAACCGCAUGGUUCAAAAGUGAAAGACGGUCUUGCUGUCACUUAUAGAUGGAUCCGCGCUGCAUUAGCUAGUUGGUAAGGUAACGGCUUACCAAGGCAACGAUGCAUAGCCGACCUGAGAGGGUGAUCGGCCACACUGGAACUGAGACACGGUCCAGACUCCUACGGGAGGCAGCAGUAGGGAAUCUUCCGCAAUGGGCGAAAGCCUGACGGAGCAACGCCGCGUGAGUGAUGAAGGUCUUCGGAUCGUAAAACUCUGUUAUUAGGGAAGAACAUAUGUGUAAGUAACUGUGCACAUCUUGACGGUACCUAAUCAGAAAGCCACGGCUAACUACGUGCCAGCAGCCGCGGUAAUACGUAGGUGGCAAGCGUUAUCCGGAAUUAUUGGGCGUAAAGCGCGCGUAGGCGGUUUUUUAAGUCUGAUGUGAAAGCCCACGGCUCAACCGUGGAGGGUCAUUGGAAACUGGAAAACUUGAGUGCAGAAGAGGAAAGUGGAAUUCCAUGUGUAGCGGUGAAAUGCGCAGAGAUAUGGAGGAACACCAGUGGCGAAGGCGACUUUCUGGUCUGUAACUGACGCUGAUGUGCGAAAGCGUGGGGAUCAAACAGGAUUAGAUACCCUGGUAGUCCACGCCGUAAACGAUGAGUGCUAAGUGUUAGGGGGUUUCCGCCCCUUAGUGCUGCAGCUAACGCAUUAAGCACUCCGCCUGGGGAGUACGACCGCAAGGUUGAAACUCAAAGGAAUUGACGGGGACCCGCACAAGCGGUGGAGCAUGUGGUUUAAUUCGAAGCAACGCGAAGAACCUUACCAAAUCUUGACAUCCUUUGACAACUCUAGAGAUAGAGCCUUCCCCUUCGGGGGACAAAGUGACAGGUGGUGCAUGGUUGUCGUCAGCUCGUGUCGUGGGAUGUUGGGUUAAGUCCCGCAACGAGCGCAACCCUUAAGCUUAGUUGCCAUCAUUAAGUUGGGCACUCUAAGUUGACUGCCGGUGACAAACCGGAGGAAGGUGGGGAUGACGUCAAAUCAUCAUGCCCCUUAUGAUUUGGGCUACACACGUGCUACAAUGGACAAUACAAAGGGCAGCGAAACCGCGAGGUCAAGCAAAUCCCAUAAAGUUGUUCUCAGUUCGGAUUGUAGUCUGCAACUCGACUACAUGAAGCUGGAAUCGCUAGUAAUCGUAGAUCAGCAUGCUACGGUGAAUACGUUCCCGGGUCU
This 1372-nucleotide ribosomal RNA is filed under the name uncultured bacterium. RNAcentral describes it as "bacterial SSU rRNA". It matches the Rfam family "Bacterial small subunit ribosomal RNA", at positions 28 to 1381 of the family's 1533-position model. The record is from RNAcentral.